Molecule: long non-coding RNA, 2704 nt
Organism: Triticum aestivum (bread wheat)
Lineage: Eukaryota; Viridiplantae; Streptophyta; Magnoliopsida; Poales; Poaceae
Exons: 8
Source: RefSeq, a predicted model, not a curated record
UCCCCUCUCCCACGCUCUUUCCAGGCGGCUAGGGCUGCCGCCGUCGGAGGUGCCACUGGUUCGCCGGCCGCUGCAGUCCCAUCUCCCCUUCCCUCUCCCAGGAUCCUAGGCGGGCACGCCACCCCCUCUCCCCUCUCUUACCUCGUUUCUCCCAUCUUCCUCAAAGAGGAGGAGAGGACGCAACUGGGGCGAUUCAGCGGAGUUGAGGCCGGAGCGGUGGAUCGGAGUUUGCGUCGCGGGAUGGAAGGAAGACGAGCUGCAGGUGCACUCGCUGUCGCCCCGAGCGCUUGUCCUAGGUCAUCUUUGCCUCCUCCCCGCAGCCCCGCCCCCCUGGCUGCCGCCUGGAGCACCUGGCCUUGGUCGUCGUUGCAGCUCCCCAUGGCCCCGCUCCACCACUCCACCACCGUGUUCGCCAUGACCAGUGUCUCUACAGGUCGUUGUUACUGCUGCUCUUCUUCCGUCAGGCAGAAAGGUAGCUAAAUGCAGCAAGCAGGCAAAUUGCAUUGCUGGUAUUACCCCAAAAAAAUUACUUUGGUGGAUCAAGUAGGUGUUGAAUCUGGAAAUCAGGUACACACAACUCCAGUUUUUUUUGUUUAGUUAAAUGCCUUGAAGAGUAAAGAUGUAAACUAGGCAUACCUAUACAAUCACCGUAGCAUGUCUUAUAUCCAUAACUACAUUACCGAUUCAGAUAUCAAGUAUGUAUCAGGUAGGAGAUCAAUCUAUUUGUUUCCUUUGAUACUUUCUCCCAAACAUGGCCUCACUUCACGUUGCGAAGCCCUAAUGGCGGUGCCGGCACUCCUCCUGUCAAGCAGGCCAUACCCUUGUGUGUCACAGGCUUGUGCCUGACGCUACAGGGAGAUGAGCACAUCGGGUGGGAGAAAGAAGCUGUCUUUGGCCGGUUGAGAGGGUCGAUGAGGUUGUUUUGCAGUUUCUUGGUAGUUUCAUAGAAACAUGAGUUACUUCUUGUUGGUCACUGACUCCUAUUUCAUUGUUUUAGCUACAAAGUCAGUUGUUGAAUUGGUACCUACCUGAAAUAUGAGGUCAUAUAUCUUCUUCUAAAUGCAGGAUUUCCUUGUACUGAUACAGUAGAGAACACUGCAGAUUCAUAGGGUAAAGCAAACCGGCAGCAUAAAAAUGAUCUCUAUGGAACUAUCACCAUAGGAGAUUUUAUCUGAUUAGGGCAGCUGGACAGAAUCUGAAUUAGGUCAACUGAGCAACCAUUGCUCCCUUGUACCGCGGCAAAAUGAUUGAUGAACUUCUCCUGAAGUGAUGCAUUUUUGAAAUGGUGAAACCUCUUGCAUUACCUGAAUAGCUGAUCACAUCACUUCUGGCAUGAGUACAUCAGUCUCGUGGAUGGCGUCACAGCAUGGCUCGAUUGUGGCGGCACGGUUUGGUUCGAUGGCUGGGCGAGGUCGUUGGGAAAGGAGGCGGACACGGGGAAGGUGGCACGCUCAGUGCCGCUUGACCACGUCAUCCCCACCGAUGCCGAUGAGCUCAGCCUCGGUUGCAGCGGGCUCCUGGCCAUAGCCAUGGACCACCUCGAGCGAAAGCCUACCGCGGUGGCCGACCUGUGAGGUUCUUGAGGACUACCUAAAGAAUUUUAGAGUCUUGGAGGGGAAGACGACGCCACCCAACAUUGGUAAUAUCUGGAGGACGCAUUAAAAAAAAAUAUCAGUUACAGCUGUUUGCGGACCCAUUACUCGGGCAAGGCCGCCGCCGCCACUCGCAUCGUCACACCAACUACAAGCACUGGAUAUGGAUAUGUUGAUAAGGUUGCAGAACGCGUGACUGUACAAGUAGGUGUGGUUAACCUUCUAUUGGAGAAACAUGGAGGAACUGGCUUGCAAGGACAUGCAACAUGUUGGUGUGGAUGGAGGCGAUGUAGAGAUGAAUGAGGGCGACGGAAGGAAGCAGUAGCAGCUCGAUCCAGGAAGCAACAGCUGGCGCGCUCCUAGAUGGUGACACACAUUGAAAUUGAUUCUACUGUAAGCUUAUUCGCAGUUUUUCGUAUUGAUCCAUCAAGGUAUGGUUGUAAUGAAUAUUUUAUAUGGCUACAUCCAAGAUAUCAAGAGAUCCUAAUGCUAUAGCAUACACUCAUAUCAAUGUAUUUGAUCUGAGAUUGAGGAUGAAAUAUGGCUGCUGAAUGUGUUAAGACAACAUAAGUGUGCACAAGCCUGCCUCAGGAGGCGCCACCAGGUGGCGCCCCAACCGCUAGUAUUCUUUCAAUGGGAGAUGACGUUUUCGUCAAUAGCAAGGUGUCUAUGGUGACUUUGUCAAUCAUAAGACCCGCCCGCUCAAGUAUCUUGAGGUGCUAAUACGGAUAGGACGUGCAUCCACGGGUUUAUAUGGGUGAGUAAGUAUAUGCAUGCAAAGUGUCUGCGUCUCUGUAUUUUGUUUACAAAUAAUAAUAUAUUUAAGGGUAAACAUGCUUUACUUUAUUCAAAAUUUAUAGUUUAAAGGAAUGGUUAAAGGAUCAUGAGGGUUUAUAAGCUACAUGUGGCAAUCCUCAGCUAAAUGUAAAGUAUGUUUAGCUAAAUUGUGCACUUUCAAAUUGGAAAGACAUCCCUUCAUGCACAAAAGUAACAGAAGCAAAUUCCUUUGCAGUAACGUUGAUUUCUUUCACCACCUAGCCAGGAAUUCCUUUUUUAUCUUUUUGUUGUUGAAAACAUACAAUACAUUUCUUUUGGGAAUUAGAAAAAUUACA